This 874-nucleotide ribosomal RNA is filed under the name uncultured archaeon. Its description in RNAcentral is "bacterial SSU rRNA". It matches the Rfam family "Archaeal small subunit ribosomal RNA", at positions 1 to 879 of the family's 1478-position model. The record is from RNAcentral.
UCCGGUUGAUCCUGCCAGAGGCUACUGCUAUCGGGGUUCGAUUAGGCCAUGCGAGUUAAAUGUUCUUCGUGAACAUAGCGAACUGCUCAGUAACACGUGGAUAACCUUCCCUUGGGUCCGGAAUAACCCCGGGAAACUGGGGAUAAUACCGGAUAAGCCAUAGACGCUGGAAUGCCCUAUGGUUCAAAGCUCCGGCGCCUAAGGAUGGAUCUGCGGUCUAUCAGGUUGUAGUGGGUGUAACGUACCUACUAGCCGACGACGGAUACGGGUUGUGAGAGCAAGAGCCCGGAGAUGGAUUCUGAGACACGAAUCCAGGCCCUACGGGGUGCAGCAGGCGCGAACACUUUACAAUGCGGGAAACCGCGAUAAGGGAACCCCGAGUGCCAGCAUCAAAUGUUGGCUGUCCAGAUGAUUAAAAAUCAUUUGUUAGCAAGGGCCGGGCAAGACCGGUGCCAGCCGCCGCGGUAACACCGGCGGCCCGAGUGGUAGCCGUUUUUAUUGGGUCUAAAGGGUCCGUAGCCGGCCUGAUAAGUCCUUUGGGAAAUCUGGCAGCUUAACUGUCAGGCUUCUAAGGGAUACUGUCAGGCUUGGGACCGGAAGAGGUAAGGGGUACUCCAGGGGUAGGAGUGAAAUCUUGUAAUCCCUGGGGGACCAUCUGUGGCGAAGGCGCCUUACCAGAACGGGUCCGACGGUGAGGGACGAAAGCUAGGGGAGCAAACCGGAUUAGAUACCCGGGUAGUCCUAGCUGUAAACGAUGCUCGCUAGGUGUCAGACACGGUGCGACCGUGUUUGGUGCCGCAGGGAAGCCGUUAAGCGAGCCACCUGGGAAGUACGGUCGCAAGGCUGAAACUUAAAGGAAUUGGCGGGGGAGCAC